Molecule: long non-coding RNA, 817 nt
Organism: Cygnus olor (mute swan)
Lineage: Eukaryota; Metazoa; Chordata; Aves; Anseriformes; Anatidae
Exons: 3
Source: RefSeq, a predicted model, not a curated record
CCAUGUCUACUGUAUUGGCUCAGAAUGAGAUUUGAGCAGCAUCUUGCUGCAUGCUCCCUAAGGAUGGGUAAAAGUAAAUGCCAUGAGUAUAAAAAGACGAGGCUUCUGUAAGAUCCAGUAGAUGCACACAGCUUCACAUUUGCUGCUCUCGCUUACUGAUCUGGCCAUUCUCAAGGAAGUUGUCAUCCAGGAGUCACGAAGUUGUAAUGCAGAGAUAAGUCAUAGAAGCUCCAGAGAGGACAGACCGCUAUUCUUGUUCAUGAACAAGAUGUGUUUGCCACAGCCUGCCAUUUCCUGUUGCAAGUCUUUGCGCUUCACGGAAGGACUCUAGCCACUGCAGCACAUGUGGACGUGGAGCACUGUCAGAUGUGUUGGACUGAACAGUGAGAAGAUGGCCAUCCAUAUAUUUAGUGUGGAAGCUUUUGCUUAUGGUAAGUCAGAUCUCUUAAUAUUGUUUUACCACAUUUUUUGAGCUUCAUAUUUAAUUCAGGUCAAAUCUGAACUACUAAACAGAACUGUUACGUAGUGCACGUACCGGAUAAAUGAAGUGCAGUUUUAGUAUAGCUCUGACCUAGUUACUUCCUAAAAUGCUGUCUAAAAGCAGAAAUUGAAAUCUCUUAUCUAAACAAAAAAUGAAUCUUUUUUCUCCUGCUUAUUGUGGCACUUUGCAUGUAUUUGGUUUCAAAGACUGAUAAAGCUUACAAUUCUGAAUCUUUCAUGGGUAUCAUAAAGGCUUCUUUUUUCUAGUAACCCAACCCAACAGCAUAUUGUAGUAAUGAACGUCUGCCAUCUGAGAUAUACAGAGCAAUCUUGACAA